GUGGGGAAUCUUGCGCAAUGGGCGAAAGCCUGACGCAGCCAUGUCGCGUGGAUGAUGAAGGUCUUAGGAUUGUAAAAUCCUUUCACCGGUGAAGAUAAUGACUGUAGCCGGAGAAGAAGCCCCGGCUAACUUCGUGCCAGCAGCCGCGGUAAUACGAAGGGGGCUAGCGUUGCUCGGAUUUACUGGGCGUAAAGGGCGCGUAGGCGGACAUUUAAGUCAGGGGUGAAAUCCCGGGGCUCAACCUCGGAACUGCCUUUGAUACUGGGUGUCUUGAGUAUGAGAGAGGUGUGUGGAACUCCGAGUGUAGAGGUGAAAUUCGUAGAUAUUCGGAAGAACACCAGUGGCGAAGGCGACACACUGGCUCAUUACUGACGCUGAGGCGCGAAAGCGUGGGGAGCAAACAGGAUUAGAUACCCCUGUAGUCC
Molecule: ribosomal RNA, 425 nt
Filed under: uncultured bacterium
Lineage: Bacteria
Description: partial 16S ribosomal RNA
Rfam family: Bacterial small subunit ribosomal RNA
Source: RNAcentral